UUUGCGGUGUGGGAUGGGCCCGCGGCCUAUCAGCUUGUUGGUGGGGUGAUGGCCUACCAAGGCGACGACGGGUAGCCGGCCUGAGAGGGUGUCCGGCCACACUGGGACUGAGAUACGGCCCAGACUCCUACGGGAGGCAGCAGUGGGGAAUAUUGCACAAUGGGCGCAAGCCUGAUGCAGCGACGCCGCGUGGGGGAUGACGGCCUUCGGGUUGUAAACCUCUUUCACCAUCGACGAAGGUUCGGGUUUUCUCGGACUGACGGUAGGUGGAGAAGAAGCACCGGCCAACUACGUGCCAGCAGCCGCGGUAAUACGUAGGGUGCGAGCGUUGUCCGGAAUUACUGGGCGUAAAGAGCUCGUAGGUGGUUUGUCGCGUUGUUCGA
This 383-nucleotide ribosomal RNA is filed under the name uncultured bacterium. RNAcentral describes it as "bacterial SSU rRNA". It matches the Rfam family "Bacterial small subunit ribosomal RNA", at positions 212 to 595 of the family's 1533-position model. The record is from RNAcentral.